This is a non-coding RNA of Onthophagus taurus, 895 nucleotides long. The record is from RefSeq and is a predicted model, not a curated record. NCBI's taxonomy places the organism in Eukaryota, Metazoa, Arthropoda, Insecta, Coleoptera, Scarabaeidae.
UAAAUCAAAUUCGAUUUAAUUUUUUUAUUAUUAAGGAAAUUAUCGUGUCGGACUGUACUAAAUCCAGGACGUACACUUAAAUGACAUAAACGAUCUGUCAAAUUUCUAGAAACUAACCAAGAUUUUUCAUAAAAUAAUAAAAUGAUUGAAAUAACCUGCAACGAUCGAUUGGGUAAAAAAGUGCGGGUUAAAUGUAACCCAGAUGAUACCAUAGCGGAUCUAAAAAAGCUAAUUGCUGCUCAAACGGGGACUAAAUGGGAUAAAAUCGUUCUUAAAAAGUGGUAUAAACCAUUCAAGGAUCACAUACAAUUACAAGAUUAUGAAAUUCACGAUGGGAUGAAUCUGGAGUUAUAUUAUCAAUAAUUUAAGGUUUUAAUUUGAUUAAUCUGUUAAAAUAAAAAACUAGUUAAGAUUUAUUAUAACUUUAUUUAUAAGAGCAUCAUCAUCACACUUUCAAGAAUAAAUAAAAAGAAUUUAAAUAUAAAUUAAAAAAAAUAACAGUCCGAUAAUAUAAUAAGAUCUAUUAAUUCCGUUUUGGUGUCCGUGCAAGAUAUCCCAGAUGUGGUGCACAAUUAGGUCUAUAGCCACUGCAACAAUAAAUUAAUACAUUACAUGUACCGUGCGUACUUUAUAAUUAAACAAAUAAUUAAUUUUAGAAAUCAAAAGUAGAUAAGAAUUGUAUUUACAAGGAUUACGGAAAAGCAAACGAGUAAUAGCAAAUUAAAUCAAAAAAAAUAAGUCUAUUUAUUUUUUAUUUGUUUUUCAAAGAAACUUAAUAAAUAAAAUAUACAAGUAAUGCAUUUUGCAGUGACUAAAGAUGUACUUUUAAUGUUCAAUGUAAUUUAUAAUAAGCUGGAUGCUUACUAAAUAAUAAUUAAAUAAAAAGGAAAGGUUA